RNAcentral lists this small nuclear RNA (145 nucleotides) under Mus musculus (house mouse). Its description in RNAcentral is "predicted gene, 23928 (ENSMUSG00000064403.4)". It matches the Rfam family "U1 spliceosomal RNA", at positions 23 to 166 of the family's 166-position model. Rfam says of the family: U1 is a small nuclear RNA (snRNA) component of the spliceosome (involved in pre-mRNA splicing). Its 5' end forms complementary base pairs with the 5' splice junction, thus defining the 5' donor site of an intron. There are significant differences in sequence and secondary structure between metazoan and yeast U1 snRNAs, the latter being much longer (568 nucleotides as compared to 164 nucleotides in human). The record is from RNAcentral. Lineage: Eukaryota; Metazoa; Chordata; Mammalia; Rodentia; Muridae.
AUUAAGAUCUUCUAGAGUGUGGUUUUCCCAGGGCGAGGCUUAUCCAUUGCACUGUGGAUAUGCUGACCCCUGCGAUUUUCCCAAAUGCAGGAAACUGGACUGCAUAAUUUGUGGUAGUGGGGUACUGUGUUCGCACUUUCCCUGG